RNAcentral lists this ribosomal RNA (461 nucleotides) under uncultured bacterium. RNAcentral describes it as "partial 16S ribosomal RNA". It matches the Rfam family "Bacterial small subunit ribosomal RNA", at positions 338 to 795 of the family's 1533-position model. The record is from RNAcentral.
CCUACGGGUGGCAGCAGUGAGGAAUAUUGGUCAAUGGGCGAGAGCCUGAACCAGCCAAGUCGCGUGAAGGAUGACGGCCCUACGGGUUGUAAACUUCUUUUGUCAGGGAGCAAUUGAGUCCACGUGUGGGCUUAGCGAGAGUACCUGAAGAAAAAGCAUCGGCUAACUCCGUGCCAGCAGCCGCGGUAAUACGGAGGAUGCGAGCGUUAUCCGGAUUUAUUGGGUUUAAAGGGUGCGUAGGUUGUUUUUUAAGUCAGCGGUGAAAGUUUGUGGCUCAACCAUAAAAUUGCCGUUGAAACUGGAAGACUUGAGUGUGUUUGAGGUAGGCGGAAUGCGUGGUGUAGCGGUGAAAUGCAUAGAUAUCACGCAGAACUCCGAUUGCGAAGGCAGCUUACUAAGCCAUAACUGACACUGAAGCACGAAAGCGUGGGGAUCAAACAGGAUUAGAUACCCGGGUAGUC